RNAcentral lists this ribosomal RNA (1688 nucleotides) under Geomonhystera sp. ZQZ-2010a. RNAcentral describes it as "SSU rRNA". It matches the Rfam family "Eukaryotic small subunit ribosomal RNA". Lineage: Eukaryota; Metazoa; Nematoda; Chromadorea; Monhysterida; Monhysteridae. The record is from RNAcentral.
AACUGAAUUAAGUGAAGCCGCGAAUAGCUCAUUACAACAGCCGUUGUUUCUUGGAUCUCCUCUUUACUUGGAUAACUGUGGUAAUUCUAGAGCUAAUACACGCAAUCAAGCUCCGACCGUAAGGGAAGAGCGCAUUUAUUAGAACAAGGCCAAUCGGCUCCGGCCGUAAGUCUGGCGAAUCUGAAUAACUCAGCAGAGCGUACUGGUCCUAGUACCGACGCCGCAUCUUUCAAGUGUCUGCCUUAUCAACUUUCGAUGGUAGUUUACGUGCCUACCAUGGUUGUAACGGGUAACGGAGAAUAAGGGUUCGACUCCGGAGAGGGAGCCUGAAAAACGGCUACCACUUCUAAGGAAGGCAGAAGGCGCGCAGAUUACCCACUCUCAGCACGAGGAGGUAGUGACGAAAAAUAACGAGACGGCCCUCUUUGAGGGCCGUCAUCGGAAUGAGUACAAUCUAAACCCUUUAACGAGGAUCUAGCGGAGGGCAAGUCUGGUGCCAGCAGCCGCGGUAAUUCCAGCUCCGCAGGUGUAUAUCUAUGCUGCUGCGGUUAAAAAGCUCGUAGUUGGAUCUGCGUGCCCAGUGGGCGGUCCGACCUCACGGUCGCGAACUGCGCCACGGCACUUUAGGCCAGUCUUCUCCGGGUGCCCUUCACCGGGUGUCCGCUAGUGGCUAGCGAGUUUACUUUGAAAAAAUUAGAGUGCUCAAAACAGGCGUCUCGCCUGUAUACUGUUGCAUGGAAUAAUAGAAUAGGACCUCGGCUCUAUUUUGUUGGCUUUCGGAACAGGAGGUAAUGAUUAAGAGGGACAGACGGGGCAUUCGUAUUGCGACGUUAGAGGUGAAAUUCUUGGAUCGUCGCAAGACGCCCAACUGCAAAAGCAUUUGCCCAAGAAUGUUUUCAUUAAUCAAGAACGAAAGUUAGAGGUUCGAAGGCGAUCAGAUACCGCCUAGUUCUAACCGUAAACGAUACCAACUAGCGAUCCGACGGUGUUAGAAAUGACCCGUCGGGGAGCUUCCCGGGAAACGAAAGUCUUCCGGUUCCGGGGGAAGUAUGGUUGCAAAUCUGAAACUUAAAGGAAUUGACGGAAGGGCACCACCAGGAGUGGAGCCUGCGGCUUAAUUUGACUCAACACGGGAAAACUCACCCGGCCCGGACACUGUAAGGAUUGACAGAUUGAGAGCUCUUUCUUGAUUCGGUGGGUGGUGGUGCAUGGCCGUUCUUAGUUGGUGGAGCGAUUUGUCUGGUUAAUUCCGAUAACGAACGAGACUCCAGCCUGCUAACUAGUACGCGUAUCUCUCGGUGCGCGCUACUUCUUAGAGGGACAAGCGGUGUUCAGCCGCAUGAGAAGGAGCAAUAACAGGUCUGUGAUGCCCUUAGAUGUCCGGGGCUGCACGCGCGCUACACUGAAAGGAUCAGAGUGCUAGUUCACCUUGCCCGAAAGGGCUGGGUAACCCGCGCAAAACCUUUCGUGAUUGGGAUAGGGACUUGCAAUUAUUUCCCUUGAACGAGGAAUUCCCAGUAAGUGCGGGUCAUAAGCUCGCGUUGAUUACGUCCCUGCCCUUUGUACACACCGCCCGUCGCUGCCCGGGACUGAGCCGUUUCGAGAAGAACGGGGACCGCGGACGCUUGGCUCUCACGGGCUUUUCGUUUGUGGAAACCGUUUAAUCGCAGCGGCUGACCCGGCAAAAC